GACGAACGCUGGCGGCGUGCCUAAUACAUGCAAGUUGAGCGAUGAAGAUUGGUGCUUGCACCAAUUUGAAGAGCAGCGAACGGGUGAGUAACGCGUGGGGAAUCUGCCUUUGAGCGGGGGACAACAUUUGGAAACGAAUGCUAAUACCGCAUAAUAACUUUAAACAUAAGUUUUAAGUUUGAAAGAUGCAAUUGCAUCACUCAAAGAUGAUCCCGCGUUGUAUUAGCUAGUUGGUGAGGUAAAGGCUCACCAAGGCGAUGAUACAUAGCCGACCUGAGAGGGUGAUCGGCCACAUUGGGACUGAGACACGGCCCAAACUCCUACGGGAGGCAGCAGUAGGGAAUCUUCGGCAAUGGACGAAAGUCUGACCGAGCAACGCCGCGUGAGUGAAGAAGGUUUUCGGAUCGUAAAACUCUGUUGGUAGAGAAGAACGUUGGUGAGAGUGGAAAGCCCAUCAAGUGACGGUAACUACCCAGAAAGGGACGGCUAACUACGUG
RNAcentral lists this ribosomal RNA (497 nucleotides) under uncultured bacterium. Its description in RNAcentral is "partial 16S ribosomal RNA". It matches the Rfam family "Bacterial small subunit ribosomal RNA", at positions 28 to 507 of the family's 1533-position model. The record is from RNAcentral.